ACGGAAGGCAGCAGUGGGGAAUAUUGGGCAAUGGGCGAAAGCCUGACCCAGCAACGCCGCGUGAAGGAAGAAGGUCUUCGGAUUGUAAACUUCUUUUACAGGGGACGAUAAUGACGGUACCCUGUGAAUAAGCCACGGCUAACUACGUGCCAGCAGCCGCGGUAAUACGUAGGUGGCAAGCGUUAUCCGGAUUUACUGGGUGUAAAGGGCGCGUAGGCGGGAGAGCAAGUCAGAUGUGAAAUCUGUGGGCUUAACUCACAAACUGCAUUUGAAACUGUUUUUCUUGAGUGCUGGAGAGGUAGAUGGAAUUCCUUGUGUAGCGGUGAAAUGCGUAGAUAUAAGGAAGAACACCAGUGGCGAAGGCGAUCUACUGGACAGUAACUGACGCUGAGGCGCGAAAGCGUGGGGAGCAAACAGGAUUAGAUACCCUGGUA
This 434-nucleotide ribosomal RNA is filed under the name uncultured Oscillospiraceae bacterium. RNAcentral's name for it is "bacterial SSU rRNA". It matches the Rfam family "Bacterial small subunit ribosomal RNA", at positions 341 to 792 of the family's 1533-position model. Lineage: Bacteria; Bacillati; Bacillota; Clostridia; Eubacteriales; Oscillospiraceae. The record is from RNAcentral.